UCUCCGUAGGUGAACCUGCGGAGGGAUCAUUACAGAGUUUUUGCCCGCAAGGGUAGAUCUCCCACCCUAUGUUAUUCCUUCUCUGUUGCUUUGGCGAGCCGUCCGGCCUCGGUCAGGCCACCGGCUCCGGCUGGUGCGCGCCCGCCAGAGGACCCCAAACCCUAAAUGUCAGUGUCGUCUGAGUACUAUAUAAUAGUUAAAACUUUCAACAACGGAUCUCUUGGUUCUG
This 229-nucleotide unclassified non-coding RNA is filed under the name plant metagenome. RNAcentral's name for it is "partial contains small subunit ribosomal RNA, internal transcribed spacer 1, and 5.8S ribosomal RNA". The record is from RNAcentral.